UACAGGGGGUGCAAACGUUGCUCGGAAUCAUUGGGCGUAAAGCGCACGUAGGCGGUUCGUUAUGUCGGAUGUGAAAGCCCUUGGCUUAACCGAGGAAGUGCAUCCGGAACUGGCGAGCUAGAGUACUAAAGAGGAUCGCGGAAUUCCCGGUGUAGAGGUGAAAUUCGUAGAUAUCGGGAGGAACACCGGUGGCGAAGGCGGCGACCUGGUCCGAUACUGACGCUGAGGCGCGAAAGCGUGGGGAGCAAACAGG
This 253-nucleotide ribosomal RNA is filed under the name uncultured bacterium. RNAcentral's name for it is "partial 16S ribosomal RNA". It matches the Rfam family "Bacterial small subunit ribosomal RNA", at positions 524 to 776 of the family's 1533-position model. The record is from RNAcentral.